Molecule: ribosomal RNA, 366 nt
Filed under: Saccharomyces cerevisiae (brewer's yeast)
Lineage: Eukaryota; Fungi; Ascomycota; Saccharomycetes; Saccharomycetales; Saccharomycetaceae
Also listed under: 3 other names
Description: internal transcribed spacer 1
Source: RNAcentral
AAGAAAUUUAAUAAUUUUGAAAAUGGAUUUUUUUUUUUUGUUUUGGCAAGAGCAUGAGAGCUUUUACUGGGCAAGAAGACAAGAGAUGGAGAGUCCAGCCGGGCCUGCGCUUAAGUGCGCGGUCUUGCUAGGCUUGUAAGUUUCUUUCUUGCUAUUCCAAACGGUGAGAGAUUUCUGUGCUUUUGUUAUAGGACAAUUAAAACCGUUUCAAUACAACACACUGUGGAGUUUUCAUAUCUUUGCAACUUUUUCUUUGGGCAUUCGAGCAAUCGGGGCCCAGAGGUAACAAACACAAACAAUUUUAUCUAUUCAUUAAAUUUUUGUCAAAAACAAGAAUUUUCGUAACUGGAAAUUUUAAAAUAUUAA